AUGAUAUCAAAAUAUGGUAUUCUUCGCUAUUUACAUCAACAUAUCAUCAACGAAACCAAGUUAUGGGCGAAGAAGUUUGUUGUGGCAGCUGUGGAAUCAUGCAGUGCUGUUGAUGCCAUUGAUGUAUAGCAGUAGCUCCAUCCAUUCCACCAUAGCCAUAAGCUUGUUGAUUGCUGCUUAAGUUGUCUUCUUCAAUCUCCAUUGUUG
Molecule: unclassified non-coding RNA, 207 nt
Filed under: Hevea brasiliensis (rubber tree)
Lineage: Eukaryota; Viridiplantae; Streptophyta; Magnoliopsida; Malpighiales; Euphorbiaceae
Source: RNAcentral